CGGGCUGUAGUACAACGGUAGUAUGCGUGCAUGGGGUGCAUGCGAUCCGGGUCCAACUCCCGGCAGCCCGA
This 71-nucleotide transfer RNA is filed under the name Candidatus Portnoybacteria bacterium CG10_big_fil_rev_8_21_14_0_10_38_18. Its description in RNAcentral is "tRNA-Pro". It matches the Rfam family "tRNA". From Rfam's summary of the family: Transfer RNA (tRNA) molecules are approximately 80 nucleotides in length. Their secondary structure includes four short double-helical elements and three loops (D, anti-codon, and T loops). Lineage: Bacteria; Candidatus Portnoyibacteriota. The record is from RNAcentral.